GAUGAACGCUGGCGGCGUGCCUAAUACAUGCAAGUCGAGCGAACAGACGAGGAGCUUGCUCCUCUGACGUUAGCGGCGGACGGGUGAGUAACACGUGGAUAACCUACCUAUAAGACUGGGAUAACUUCGGGAAACCGGAGCUAAUACCGGAUAAUAUAUUGAACCGCAUGGUUCAAUAGUGAAAGACGGUUUUGCUGUCACUGAUAGAUGGAUCCGCGCCGGAUUAGCGAGUUGGUAAGGUAACAGCUUACCAAGGCGACGAUGCGUAGCCGACCGGAGAGGAGGAGACGCCACACUGGGACUGAGACACGGCCCAGACUCCUACGGGAGGCAGCAGUGGGGAAUAUUGGAAAAUGGGCGAAAGCCUGAUCCAGCAAUGCCGCGUGAGUGAUGAAGGCCUUAGGGUUGUAAAGCUCUUUUAACCGGGAGGAUAAUGACAGUACCGGGAGAAUAAGCGCCGGCUAACUCCGUG
RNAcentral lists this ribosomal RNA (472 nucleotides) under uncultured bacterium. RNAcentral describes it as "partial 16S ribosomal RNA". It matches the Rfam family "Bacterial small subunit ribosomal RNA", at positions 28 to 507 of the family's 1533-position model. The record is from RNAcentral.